Molecule: ribosomal RNA, 1398 nt
Filed under: synthetic construct
Also listed under: 1 other name
Description: bacterial SSU rRNA
Rfam family: Bacterial small subunit ribosomal RNA
Source: RNAcentral
AGAGUUUGAUCCUGGCUCAGAUUGAACGCUGGCGGCAGGCCUAACACAUGCAAGUCGAGCGGUAGCACAGAGAGCUUGCUCUCGGGUGACGAGCGGCGGACGGGUGAGUAAUGUCUGGGAAACUGCCUGAUGGAGGGGGAUAACUACUGGAAACGGUAGCUAAUACCGCAUAAUGUCGCAAGACCAAAGUGGGGGACCUUCGGGCCUCAUGCCAUCAGAUGUGCCCAGAUGGGAUUAGCUAGUAGGUGGGGUAACGGCUCACCUAGGCGACGAUCCCUAGCUGGUCUGAGAGGAUGACCAGCCACACUGGAACUGAGACACGGUCCAGACUCCUACGGGAGGCAGCAGUGGGGAAUAUUGCACAAUGGGCGCAAGCCUGAUGCAGCCAUGCCGCGUGUGUGAAGAAGGCCUUCGGGUUGUAAAGCACUUUCAGCGGGGAGGAAGGCGAUAAGGUUAAUAACCUUGUCGAUUGACGUUACCCGCAGAAGAAGCACCGGCUAACUCCGUGCCAGCAGCCGCGGUAAUACGGAGGGUGCAAGCGUUAAUCGGAAUUACUGGGCGUAAAGCGCACGCAGGCGGUCUGUCAAGUCGGAUGUGAAAUCCCCGGGCUCAACCUGGGAACUGCAUUCGAAACUGGCAGGCUAGAGUCUUGUAGAGGGGGGUAGAAUUCCAGGUGUAGCGGUGAAAUGCGUAGAGAUCUGGAGGAAUACCGGUGGCGAAGGCGGCCCCCUGGACAAAGACUGACGCUCAGGUGCGAAAGCGUGGGGAGCAAACAGGAUUAGAUACCCUGGUAGUCCACGCCGUAAACGAUGUCGAUUUGGAGGUUGUGCCCUUGAGGCGUGGCUUCCGGAGCUAACGCGUUAAAUCGACCGCCUGGGGAGUACGGCCGCAAGGUUAAAACUCAAAUGAAUUGACGGGGGCCCGCACAAGCGGUGGAGCAUGUGGUUUAAUUCGAUGCAACGCGAAGAACCUUACCUGGUCUUGACAUCCACAGAACUUUCCAGAGAUGGAUUGGUGCCUUCGGGAACUGUGAGACAGGUGCUGCAUGGCUGUCGUCAGCUCGUGUUGUGAAAUGUUGGGUUAAGUCCCGCAACGAGCGCAACCCUUAUCCUUUGUUGCCAGCGGUUAGGCCGGGAACUCAAAGGAGACUGCCAGUGAUAAACUGGAGGAAGGUGGGGAUGACGUCAAGUCAUCAUGGCCCUUACGACCAGGGCUACACACGUGCUACAAUGGCGUAAACAAAGGGAAGCAAGAGUGCGAGCUUGAGCAAAUCCCAAAAAUAACGUCCCAGUUCGGACUGCAGUCUGCAACUCGACUGCACGAAGCUGAAUCGCUAGUAAUCGCAGAUCAGAAUGCUGCGGUGAAUACGUUCCCGGGUCUUGCACACACCGCCCGUCA